Bactrocera oleae (olive fruit fly) is the source of this 777-nucleotide long non-coding RNA. RefSeq lists it as uncharacterized. The record is from RefSeq and is a predicted model, not a curated record. Lineage: Eukaryota; Metazoa; Arthropoda; Insecta; Diptera; Tephritidae.
AUUAUCAAUCAAUGAUACCAAAAAAAAUAUAUAUAAAACAACAAUAGCAACAACCUCAGCGCCUUUGAAAUGUAAGGAGAAUGUGCCACCUCCAGUACAAAACAACGAUAUGAUGGUUAUGCUAAACAAAAUUUUAUGCAACCAGAAGGAAAUAAUGGAAAAGCUUCAUAGUUUAGAAGCGAAUCUAACAACAAUUAUUAUUCCAUAAAAUGGGCUCGUUGGAAAAUGGACAUGUGACGAUAACUACCAAUCAAGCACUUAUAACUGGUAAAGUGGAAACAAUUGAACAAAAAGCAACAGAUAAAUCGGUACCAGCACAAAGCUCCCUGAUUAGGGAAUGCAAGAUGCGUAUUAAAAAAAUUGAGCGAUCGGUAUGUCCCAUGACCGGAGAGGCAAGAGAUGACACUAUUGAUGAGGUAGCAAGUCUUUUACCAAUUGAAACGGUUGAGGGAUGUCUGGAGGUGGAAGAAAUCUAAAAAACCCCGAAUUCACGCAGGCUAUGACCACUUAUAUCCACAAACUGAAGGGUACAUCCGAUAACAUCGAAAACGUUUUUAAAAAUAUAUAUACUGACUGCCUCCUCGAGUCCUUUAAUUGGGAUGAAAGAGGCGAAAAACAUACCCUAGGCGAACUCAGGCUCAUAAAGACUAUUUUACGAGAUAAAUAAGCGGCGUUUUUCCAGUCACAAGGUGCUUUUGACUUUGUAAAGAGCAUACGGAGAGCCAUUGAACGGACCCACCACUGAGUCAAACAAAAAAAACACAUGGAAAAGAGGCG